GUUCAGGAGCCCAGUCCAGGGACCUAAGGAGAGAGUGGAUCUGAGCUCUUCUAAAGUACGAAACCUCAUGUCGCACUCAAGAUCCGUCAGAGCCGGGGAGACUGCCAGGGUCCAGCCCCGGUUGGGUCCAGGGAUUCCCUCAGGAGGACGGUGUUGGCGAAAGAAUAGAUAAAAGGAGAAAGAGAUAAGGAAAGAAUUUUGCAGUUAAGAAAAUAGAGGAGAGAAAAGAGGCUGAUAUUCUUUGGUUUACGCAGAAAGCCAAUAAAGCCCCAGCACAGGACUUGCUCUGUUCACGUAGGCCGCAGGCACCCUCUCGAAUAGCUGAAGGUGCCCCACCUUAGGCACCUUCUCGAGUGGAUCUUAGAAGCCCAGGCAGGAAAGUGAAUGCAGAGGGCCCUUGCACUCCAGGGAAUCAGCCUGAAAAGGAAAAGGAAAAAGAAAUAACACGGGGAGACCAAGCCUGAUGAGCAUGGCCCACACUUUAUUUUCCAAAGUAGUUUUUAUACCUUAAGUUGUGCAUGGAGGAUAAUGGGAGGGGGGUUAGAGUCAUGCAAGGUCAGCAGUCCUUGAUCCUUAUCAAAGCCAGGCUUUCUUUCUGCAAGCUUAUCAUAUGUAAAAGCUUUAGGUGAUUUACAUCAUCUUCUGGCCAGGAGGCCUGUUAACAUUUUAUGACCCUUUCUUCAGAAAACUUAUUUUUCUCUAAAGGUGAUUAUUCUAAAGUCAGGCACCACCCUCUGAAAGCAUUAGGUAAAGUUGCAUUCCUAUAGGGCAAAAGUGUGGUGGGCUAUAACAAGAAAAGAAUUAACUCAAGCGUCCAAGGUUACAAACAUUAAAGCUACUACUUACAUUUCUAUAUACCAACUAUAUUAAUCAAUACACUCCCAGGGACACAGUAGGUAAGGGAUAUGGAAACUUGGCAGCAAGCAUUAGCUCAACAAAGAAAUCCUCUACUAGUUCUAUUCUAACAAUUUUAACUCUCUGAGAAGCUCUGCAUUGUUAGACUAUCUUAAGCUUCCCGUGCCUCUCGAGGUUGGGAGGCUGUGAAC
Bos taurus (domestic cattle) is the source of this 1046-nucleotide long non-coding RNA. The record is from Ensembl. Lineage: Eukaryota; Metazoa; Chordata; Mammalia; Artiodactyla; Bovidae.